This 775-nucleotide long non-coding RNA is filed under the name Homo sapiens (human). RNAcentral's name for it is "HSALNT0357664". The record is from RNAcentral. Lineage: Eukaryota; Metazoa; Chordata; Mammalia; Primates; Hominidae.
AAGUUACUUGCUGGGAAGACAAGGAAGGGUGGACAGACAGGGACAGCCUGACUACUGGCUUCUGCCUCGGUUGCUCCUGCAAUCCUCCAGAGCUACCCUGGGCCUCUCUCCUGCCUUCCCGCUCAGCCAGGCAGUGGCCCAUCACUGGCUGUCCUGGCAGUGGGUUAGUCGGCACUGUGUUCCCUAUGUGCUGUAAAUGGUUGGCAUCUUCUCUGAGUUAUCUCCUCCAGUCCCUACAACGAUAUUGUGAGGUGAGUAUCACCAUAUUCCCAUUUUACAGAUGAGAAGACAGGGACAAGAGCUUAAGCACUUUGCCCAAGAUUACCAGCAAGUAAGCAGAAAAGCCACUGUUCCAGCACAAGCAUUUGGACCCCUGAUUCUGGUCUCUUAGUACCUUCUCUAUAUUGAUCACGGGCAGUGACUUAAACUCCCAAACCUUCCUUUCCUCGUCUGUGCAACAAGGUAAUCUCAAGCCCACAGGAUCAUUAGUGGAUCCACACACACGCGGUUCACACACACUGUUCCACACACAUACUAUUCCCUCUUUCCACACACAGCCUUGAUUGGUUUGAGGAGCCGCUCCUGCCCUCCCCAGGUUUCUUUCACGGACAGUAAAUCCACCAGAGCUUUCUCGAACCUGUUGGCAUCUGCACAGCUUCCUGUUCCUCUCUCUCCCCCAUGUCAAUGUGGCCAAGGACUCUUAUCAAGGCCUCCUACAUGCUAGGCAGGGAGGUAAAGCUUCACACACACAUACAUACACACACACACACACACA